This 440-nucleotide RNase P RNA is filed under the name Chelativorans petroleitrophicus. RNAcentral's name for it is "Bacterial RNase P class A". It matches the Rfam family "Bacterial RNase P class A". From Rfam's summary of the family: Ribonuclease P (RNase P) is a ubiquitous endoribonuclease, found in archaea, bacteria and eukarya as well as chloroplasts and mitochondria. Its best characterised activity is the generation of mature 5'-ends of tRNAs by cleaving the 5'-leader elements of precursor-tRNAs. Lineage: Bacteria; Pseudomonadati; Pseudomonadota; Alphaproteobacteria; Hyphomicrobiales; Phyllobacteriaceae. The record is from Rfam by way of RNAcentral.
CCAGCUGGCCGGGCAGCCGCGCGCGCAGGUGUCGAAAGGCAGCGCGUGAGGAAAGUCCGGGCUCCACGGAAAUACGGUGCCGGGUAACGCCCGGCGGGGGAAACCCCAGGGAAAGUGCCACAGAAAGCAGACCGCCCCGCCCGUAUUUCGGCUCGCCGCGGCGGAAACGUCUCGGGCGAAGAGGCGAAAUACGGGCGGGGUAAGGGUGAAAGGGUGGGGUAAGAGCCCACCGCGCUCCUGGCAACAGGGGCGGCACGGUAAACCCCACCGGGAGCAAGACCGAAUAGGAACGGCGCGAAGGGUGACCUUCGAGGGCGAUUUCCGGCCCGCCGUUCGGGUAGGUUGCUAGAGGCCGGUGGCGACAUCGGUCCCAGAGGAAUGGCUGCCUCACCGCGCUUCGGCGCGGUGAACAGAACCCGGCUUACAGGCCGGCUGGUUUC